RNAcentral lists this long non-coding RNA (17541 nucleotides) under Gossypium barbadense (sea-island cotton). Its description in RNAcentral is "long non-coding RNA (GBAR_LNC000271)". The stretch from base 1838 to 1962 matches the Rfam family "MIR7504 microRNA precursor family". Lineage: Eukaryota; Viridiplantae; Streptophyta; Magnoliopsida; Malvales; Malvaceae. The record is from RNAcentral.
CAAAACCCUUUUCUCUCAAAAUUUUUCAACCUCUUUUCCCUUUCAGUCGACUGAACCAAAAGGUUAUUCACUCUUUGCCUCCACGUUAUCAAAUCGGACCCUCCUAAAUCCCCAUCAGAGCUUCGAUUUCAACGAAUUCAACAAGGAUUCGAAGGCUCCUCAAGAAGAUAAGUAUUUUUGCUUCUGCUUAUUUUAUUUUUUACACACACAAAUAACAAAAAGCAAAGAACUCAAAGCAAAAUCUACAGAAAAAUGAGAUUUUAAAAUCACCUCUUGAACUGUUCCCGUUUUUCUAUUCAAACUUCUCUGUAUAGAUUUGUAUCCCCCCCUUUACAUUGUUUACAAAUGGUCUUUUAUAGCCGAAAACCCCCAAAAAAUGAAAAGAAAUUGAGACUCUCAUCAUCCCUCUUUUCUGUUAUCUCUUUGCUGUUAAUUAUCCUUGCUGUUAUUUGCUUUAGUUAUUAGUUCGUUUUGCAGGUGUGUAUGGCGUGGAGUGAAGCUGUUUGUGGGCGUGCUGGCGUGGAGGAGGCAGUUGGAGGCUACAGCAACUGAAGCUUUUAGGGUUUGCUGAGUAGUUUUUUUGGGGGGGGGGCUGGGAUUUGUGUUAUUUGUUGGGUCUGGUUUAUUCUUGGUUUUAGGGUUUACAAAUGGUCUUUUAUAGCCGAAAACCCCCAAAAAAUGAAAAGAAAUUGAGACUCUCAUCAUCCCUCUUUUCUGUUAUCUCUUUGCUGUUAAUUAUCCUUGCCGUUAUUUGCUGUAGUUAUUAGUUCGUUUUGCAGGUGUGUAUGGCGUGGAGUGAAGCUGUUUGUGGGCGUGCUGGCGUGGAGGAGGCAGUUGGAGGCUACAGCAACUGAAGCUUUUAGGGUCUUCUACAUAUACUUUAAACCCUUUUUUCAUUAUUAUUCACCUGGUGGAUGGGUCAAUCUGUAGCUAGAAAGAAAUUUAUAAUAGUUAUAUUGUCAAAAUGGUUUUACAAGUAAAUGCUUGAAUUAGAACUCAACAUUUUAAAGGUUGCUCAUAUAAGCGUCAAACCUUUUAAAAUGGUCAAAUAAGAAUUUAACAUUUACAGAAGUGCUCAAAUAAGGGCACUCUUUAGCUCAAUUUAUAGGAAAAUUUUGGUAAAUACUAACAUGUUUAAAAUAAAAUACAUAACACCUGAACUAGAUAUUGCUUGAAAAGAAAAGAAAGCAACUAGAGCAUAAUUUGAAAUCUGAUAUACAACUUUUGAGAAGCCCUUAUUUGAGCAAUUUUGAAAAAGUUUGACUCUUAUUUGAGCACUUUCGAAAAAGGUUAGGUUUUUAUUUAACCAUUUUAAAAAGUUGAUCCUUCAUUUGAGGACUUUUAUAAAUGUUGAGCCCUUAUGUAAUAACUUUGAAAAGUUUAGCUCUUAUGUGAGUAACUUCUAAAGAGUUAAACCCUAAUUUAUGCAUUUAGCAUUGGUUUUACUGAUAAUUUGAUAGAUAUAAAUGAUAAUUAAUCUCAUGAUGACAAUUUGCAACUAGCGGUUGCUAUGUAUUUGUGUUUAUAUGAAUCUUUGGGCCUAAAACAUACUUAGUUCAUGGUCUUGUCCCUUUGGAAUUAAAUAAACUCCGCAUCAUGAAAAGAAACUGUGAAGGUUUCAUAUGUGCAUCAAAUAUAACAAUAGAGUUAAAUAAAGUUUAAGAUGUAUAAUUAUGAAAGUUUGCAAAAUUAAAUUAGAUUUUAUAAUUGUUUAAUGCGUGAUUUGGAUUUAAAAUUUUGAAUUUGGGUUUCAAUUAUUAUGUAAAUGGUAAGAAUGAAGUGGAAAAGAGAAGGGCUUGUAUAAAAUUGUGAUUCUAUAUCAUUCUUAUCCCUUUCCAAUGAGAAAAUGACAAGUUAAAAUUUUUUUUUCCUGAUUUUCAGCUUUUUCCUCUUGAAAAAAUUUAAAUUCAACUAAAAAUGCUAAAAAUUAGGAAGAAAAAUCUGAUUUGUCAUUCUCUCAUUGAAAAGGGAUAAGAAUGACGUGAAAUCACAGUUUCGUACAAUCCUUUCUCCAAUAUAACUUAUAUUAGAAAAGUAUUAAAACAUGGAUUUAUCAAAUUAAAAUUUUCAAAUUCAUUACUAAACAAGCUUCUAACAAAUCCAUUGACAGGGGUGAAGCCAGAAAAUUUUUUAGGGGGGCCAGAUGAAAUUUUAAUUUUCUAUAGUUUAUAUCUUUAUAAUUUGUAAAGGAUUAAAUCAAAUUUUUAUAAUUUUAGGGGGGUAAAGUAUAAUUUUACUUUUACUAAUUUAAAAUUUUUAAAAAAAUUAAAGGGCCAAAAAUAUAAUUUUACAUUUUAGAGGGUCGAGGCCUAUGCCAGCCCCUCUAGCGACGCCCCUGUCCAUGGAUUUGAUAAAUGGUAAUGAACUUUAUAUUUCUAAAUAGUUUAUUACUCUUUUUUAAAUCCAAACUCAAACUCCAAAAUACUAAUUCCCAAACGCUUCCUAAAUGAAUUUUGAUAUAUAAAUAUUGAGCUUUUAGCGCUUUCAUAAUUUCGCAUAUGAGAUUAAGUAUUUGAUUCAAUUAUAUUUAUUAUUAUUAUAUAUAUAUAUAUUAUUUCCAAAAGACUUGAUAAUGAUAUAUUCUAAGAUUAUUGCUUGAUGAUGAAAUUAUUUACAUUAAAAAAUAAAGAUAGUUUAGAAUACAUCUAAUUAAGCUAGUUUUCUUUUAAAGAUAUAUUUAAAUUCUUAAACGUGCACAAUUUAUUAAAGAGAAGAAAAAAAGUACAAUAUUUAAGGAAUUGCUUAGCAUAUUUGCAUCCAUGAAAUCAUGCUAGUGGAACGUCAACAAAGCUACCAAGCAACAAAUUGAAAGGGUUGCGUACCAAAAUCACUAAUUUUUUUUUUUUUUUUGGAGGGACACUCACACGAUUGAUGUUGAAUGCUCACUUUAGUCUUUAUCUAUGAUGGAUGAGGAGGAUAAAAUGUCUUUUAGAAAAGCAUUAUAGAAGAUGAUCCACUUUUAUUCAUGUGAUGAAUCCAGGAUAAUAUAUCAUUUUAUUAGGCAAUCCCUUUAAAAAGUUAAGACUACUUUCUAUCUAAAUUAAAUUUCUGUUGGUGUUAACUUAUUUUUUUUAAAAAAGUUUUAAAUUUGAAUCAUCAUUAUAUUAAAUAGGAUUAAAAAAAUUCAUUUUAAAUAUAGUUUGAUUAAUUAACAGGAUGAAAUUAAAAUUUAUUCAACCAAACAUACUAAGAAUUAAAACCAAUUAAUUGAACUAAUUAGACUGGAUUAAAACCCACAUAUAUAGACCUACAUAUAUAAUUAAAUAUGAUAAGUCAAAGCCUUCCCCUUUAUUAACAGUACUAAGGCCUCGUUGACAUGUAAGGUACUCUUUUUUUAUUUUUUUAUAAUUUAAAGAACUAUUAAGGUACAUAUAAUGAAUGAAUUUUAAUAAGUACACAUUUUUAAUGUUGAAAGUAGGAGUAAGGAUUAACCUCCCAAGUAUCACAUAAACUUUUUUUCAUGAACAUGGAUAAUUUGGUAACAAACAUGCCACCAAAUUAUCCUGCUCUUGCAUUUCAGAUCGCUAAAUUAGGGUUCAAUCCUCUUUAAAUUGAUUUUCUCUUGUGUUCAACAACUUAAAUUCAAUUCUAUCUAUUGUGCCUUAUCAUUAACAUUAUGAUAAGUUAUGUCUUAUAGAAGUACUAUAUAAAGAGUUAUUGAUAUCUCAUUCCACUCAUUCUUAAUUUGUGGUAUAUCUUAUUUGAUUCAAAAAAGAAAACGUUUAUAAUAUAUGGUUGGCAUAUUUAACCAAAAAAAUUUUUAAAUACAUGAUUUUCAUCAUGCAUAACUAGAGAAAGGAAAAUCAUAAUAUGGCUUGAAAUAUAUAAAUUUAUUAAUCUAAAAAUUCUCACUUAUAAAAAUUCAACAUCUAGAUUAGAAUUGUCUAAAAUUGAUUCUGAAUUUAUCAAUUUCAAAUUGUUGACAUUUAAAUAAAGAAAAUUGAAGUCCAAAUCCUUAGUUGAGUUGCUUAAUCCAAGCAUAAGGUAAACCAUUUCGAUGGGUUUUUCUAAUAUGUUCAAUUGAGGUGGGCCUAAGUUCCUUCGCCCAAACUAAAUGCUAGUAAAAGGUUUAUUUUAUUUUUUUCGGUUUAAGUAUGGAUAUUUUAAUUGUGAUAAAAAAUAAAAAAUAAUUAUAAACAAAAUUUAAAUUUAAUUAUAUUAAACAAGUAUUACUUAAAUGCGUGUAUAUUUUAAGUCAAUAAAUUAAAACAAUAUUUUAGUAAAGAUUUGGAUUCUUUUUAACUCUUAAAAAGUUUGGUCUUCCAUUUAUUUUUCAAAAUAUUAAUUAAACAUAGGUGAAAGUUUUUUAAUUCACUUAGAAAAUUAAAAAAAAAUUUACAUUAUCAAUGUACCAAUCAAUUUGAUAAUACGUUCAAUUUACACGAUUAUUAUGUUUAAUUUUAAUAAUUUUUUUAGUGAAAUGUCAUUAAUUUUAAGCUUAUUAUUUGAUUUUUGAUUAGGUGCAAAAGCAAAAUCCGAAAAAUAGAAAAGAGUCAAAGAUAUGGGUUGUGUAAAAGUUUUGGGCCAAAAAAGAUAGUUAUUUUAAGAUUGUAAAAAUUAUACUUUUAAAUUUUUCAUUAUGAUAAUAUUUUAAUUUUCUAAUAUUUUAUCUUUUAAAUUUUUCGAAUAGCUCUUCAAUACUAGAUCAGAUUACAAAAUUUUAGUAAGACUAAACUUUUAUGCCAAUUGAGUCAAAAAAGUAGAUAUGAUUAGAACUCGCACUUAAAAACUUUCAUUUCGGUAUUUUUUUACUUCUCUGAUUUAGGAGAGGGACACCGUCUCAUAGAAAUCAGAUUUAAACGACUUGCAUGAUUGAAGUUGUUGAUUCGAGUUGGGCACUUAUAAUUCACGAAGCUAGCGAAGUGUUAAAUCGUGGAUAUGCAUUUUGUGGUUGUUCGUUUGGUAAGGGUUAGUUGUUAGGCAUUCCCGCAAUUAAUUUAGACACAGAAAGGUUGGUGGUCUGAGGCAUCAUUGACCACUAUAACCAACUUAUCGGUUGAAGGAAAAGAUUUGUUAUCAAGGAUCAGUUCAAAACAAGAGUCAGAAUUGAGCAUGAAGUUAGAAUAUUAUCACAUCGCUUUAUUCAAUCUAAUUUCGUUUCUGUUUAUCUUUACUAUUAUUUUGAUUUUAAUUAUUUUUUAUUUUAAUCAAAUUUAAUUCCCAUUUUUAUUUUAGCACAGAUCGUCAUACAUCGUGGGCACAACAGUUACCUAGCAUGUAAUUUUGUUAAAUCGAAUGACAAUUUUAGAUAUCCUAGUCUCUAUGGGAUUGACCCUACUCACUAUACUUCUAUUUAUUUACUAUUUAGGCAUAGAAAUUUUAUUUUAGGUGGACUUGACACCCAUCAAAAUUUGGGCUUGUUGUUAGGGAUUGAAAAAAUUCUAAUUUUUGUUAUUUUCUCUUUAUGAUUAGGUUAGAUCCAAGAGAACCACUAGAGUUUGACCCCAAAAUCAAGAAAAUCACUCGAGCAAUAUGUAGAGAAACAAUAAGACGGGACAAAUGGUCAGACGGGUCUGAAGUUUCAGACAACGAAAUCAAAGAAGGAGGUAGAGCAAUGACAAAAAUCGUUGACAAACUAUCUUUUUAACUAGAAGUCAUGGCUCAAAAUCGCACCAUUAGGCAAUUUACCGAGGCACUUGAUGAACAACAAUCGUUGGGUAUUGCUUACCUGACAGUAGAUGCAUCAUUUGAAUUAAAAUUAGGUUUGAUACACUUAUUAUCCACUUUUUAUGGUCUGCAAAACGAAAACCUACAUAAACAUCUAUAUGAUUUGCUUGAGUAUGAUUUCGCGCUUUCCUUUUUUUUCCAUGAUCCAAGACCAAAUUAAACUUUGCACUUUCAUUUUUCUUUUCUUUAUCCAACUCUGCUAGAGAGCAAUUAUUUUAUUUACCUCUAGGUUUAGUUAAUUAUUACAUCAAUCACUACAAGCAUCAAAUUAAUUGAUUUACUCAAUAAUUAAUUAAAUUCAAAUUAACUAUAAUUAAAAUAAAUGUAGAGGAGAAUACUUACUUUAUGACUAACUCCAUGAUUAAUUAACUAACCAACUAUAAUGAGAAUAAAUUAGAAGAAAACUUACCUACUUACAUAAGGUAAAACUUAAACUUAAAUUUUUAUAAUUUCAACUUAAAGCUUAGCAAUUGACAUGCUAUUGAGUUAUUAAAAGUUCCUUUUGGGGCAUUAAGGAUCUGUGGCCUAUUGAAUUAGAGAGGUGUCUCUCUUGCUGGCAUUUGGUCCCACCAAUGGGCCAACCAUAAUAAAUAUAUUGUUAUAUAUGGGGGAUAACAUAGAAUAUCCACAAAUAUUUGGAUCACGAUGAUACUGCUUUUCAAGGUAUUUUGAACCAUGCAAAUAUAAUAUGGUUAGGUAUUUUAGGGCUCCUCUAAAUCCUCGAUUAGUUCCAGUGCAGUGUGACAUGGUACAAAAUUACAGUUGGAUGGCAAAACUGUGAUGCAACUGAGGGGUGUAAUCACGCCAUUCUCAUUGCUUGUUUUUUUAUCCACAUAAUAUUUGAAAGCUGCAUUUGCAGUUUUUGGUUUUUUUUUUCCUCCUUCAUUUAUUAAUGAAUGGAAUAAAACAAUCCAAUGAUAGCCAAAAAAAUAUUUAUAUAUAUAAAUAAAUAAUUAUAAAUAAAUGUAAAAGUAAGAUAAUAUAUAUAAUUAAAAUAAGUUCAAAUCGGAAAAUUAAAUAAAAUAAUUUUGAAUAAAUUUAUUCAAAUUAAAUUUAAUAAAAAAUUAAAAUAUUAAACUCGUAAAAGUUUAAAUUUAAAAUAAUUCCGAUUUAAAAAUAGAUAAUAUCGAAAUUGAUCUAACUUAAAAAAACAAAACCUGAAAUCGUAAAAUUCAAUUUCUUCAAAAUCAAAACUUUUUUAAACAUAUACCUGUCGUAAUUUUUCAAAUAAAUUCCUCACUUUUAUAUUAUUCUCGUAUUUUCACAAACACGCAUAUACUGACAUGUAAUAUAUAUAUAUAUAUAAAUAAUAUUUUGAUAUCUUAAUUGUUUUUCCUAAUUUUGUUGACGUUAAAUGUGGUGUUGGAGAUUAAAGGUGAUUCAUAUAAAUGUGGUCUAGAGAGCUGUGCUGAGACUUCGAAAAAAGUAUCGGUAAUGUAGUAAUAUCUUGGAUUCUGAUGUAAAAAGUUAAAUACGGAAGUAUAUUUAAUAUUAAUGAUGUAUUAAAAUUUUUGAGUUUUGUGGUUUUGAUUUUCUAAAUUAGCAUAUAACUUUUUAAUAAUAUAAUUUUCUCUUGUUUUAUAAAAAAUUAAUGAAUGUUCAAUGUAUGUAUCAAUGUCACUUUUUUUUUAAGAUUUUAUUCGCCCCCACUUAUAUUUUGAUAGGCAAAAUAGUUACUAACAAAUGAACAUCGGAGAUACAAAGAACCCCAAUGACUAUCAGUGUUUUGUACAGAUGAAAAUGGUCCACUGAGCAUCGAGCGGAGCAUAACAAGAGUGUGAAAUUCUAUAAAAAAAAAAAACUUUUUGCAGUAAUUCUUUAUAGAGCAAUCAAGGAAUAUUAGAUGCAAGAGAUUAAAUUAAAGUUUUGUUUAUUAACUUUUGAUGUGUUUUUGUGUACCAAACAAAUGAACUGUAACUCUUAUUUAUAGGAGUUUUCAUGCCUCUUUAUAUAUCUAUCCAAAUGGAUCGCCACGUCUUUUAGCAAUAAAUAUAAUUAUUCAUUAGAUAUCUACUUAAAUAAUUAUGACUUUUUGUUAGUAAUUAAGUGACAACUCUUGACUAAUAACCAAGGGUGGAGCCAAAAUAUUUUGAUUGUAGGGUCCAAUUUCAAAAAAUUAAAACUUCUAAAAAAUUUAUAUAAAUUAAUGCAUAACACGAUUAAAUAUAAAAGUAUUACAAAACUAUUUAAAUAGUAACUAAAUAAAUCUAAGUCCUAAAUACAAAAAUAUUCAUGAAGUCAACCAUAACAGCCCGAUUUUGGGCCUAGUCAGAACAGUAAUUUCGGGACCAAAAAUCUGACAUGGUAAAAUUAUAUUUUACUAUAUUUUUAUGGUCUACAAUUUCAUGAGAUAAACUUGUGAAAAUUUUGUUUGAAAAUUUCGACGUUUGAGCACUCAAUUUAGUCAAAAGGACUAAAUCGUAAAAACUACAAAAGUUGAGUUCUACAUGCUAGAGGUGUCCAAUUGUUAUGAAACUUUAAAUUAGAGGUUCUUAUAUGGUAAUUAUACCAUUGGUUAAGUUGGUGGACAAAAAUGGAUAUGGUUAGGUGAAUUUUGAAAUAAAGGCAUUAAGGGCGUUUUAGUCAUUUGGUAAAUAAAUGAAUUAAAAAGGGAAAAUAAGCCAAAAUCCUUGUCCAUCUUCUACCUCCAGCCAAAAUUAGAAGAGAAGCCAUGGCUAGGGUUUUGUUCAAGCUUCCAAGCUCCAUAGUAAGUGCAUCCUAGCCCCGUGUUUAAUGUUCUUUACAUUUUUGAAGUCCUCGUAACCCGAUUUACCUAUUUCUACCAUUGAUUUGAAGUAGGGUUCAUGUUUAAAAAUUUACCCAUGUGUGACAUGUAUGUGUUUUGAUGUUUAAUGGAGGAAUAUGUAAGUUUGAUGUUAGAGAAACAACUUUUGCUAAGUAAUUUUCAGUAAAAAUGCAUAAAAGAACUAAAUUGUAAAAGUUAAGAAACUUGUUUAAAAAUCUAUUUUAAUGGAAAAUGUGGGCUGCUAUAAGUAUGAAAAUGAUUCGGCUAUGCAUGGGUAGUAAAAAAAAAUUAACAUAUUUCAUUUUUAAGAGCCUAAGGGCAAAAGUGUAAAUAUGUGAAACUUUAGGGGCAAAAACAUAAUUUUACCAUAAUGUGAUUUUUGGGUCACAUUGAAUAAUUUGACUAAUAAAUAAGUUAAAUGUGAUGUUAUAGAUUAAAGAAAACGAGGUUCGGACCUAGAACGGAGGAAAUAUGAGAAAUUGACGGUUUGGUCCUUUUUUGCCGUUUUUGGUAUCGAGGUAAGUUCAUGUGUAAAUAACUCAACAUUAUGUUGAUAUGUAUUUAAUACCUUGAUAUUGCUUGAAUUGUAUAAUUGUUUCUAUGAAAUUGAUUAAUGACGAUUUUGACAAAGUUUCAAGGAAUGGAAAGAAUACAAAUGUCAUGAUAUUAGGGUUACCGAGAUUCCGUAUAAGACCAAAUCUGGGAUAUGACAUCAGUAUGUGAUUUUGUAUAAGACUAUGUCAGGGACAUGGCGUCGAUAUGAUAUUUCAUGUAAGACCAUAUUCGAGAUAUGGCAUUGAUAUGGUACUAUAAGUAUGAGAUCCCCGAGUAUCCUCAGUAUUCCAAUGAGUUCAACGGGUAUGUUAAGAAUGAGAAAGUUUGUGACUAUGUUAGGAGUGGUAUAGGUAUGUAUGUAGAACUCAUGUGACGUGAAUUCGGUAUAUGAUGAAUUCUUAGUAAGAAUGUAUACGAAUAAGUUAUGCUUGCGAGAUAUUGAUAACCUUGUGAUUAGUGAUCCACAUUCAUGAUGAUUGGAUGCAUGAGAAGAAUUGAUAAUGAUCGUGUGAGAGGUUUGUGAGCCUAAUUGAUUUUUGAUAUAGUACGGUUCAUUUAUUUAAAUUGUGUUUCAUUGGAUAUGAGAAAAGGAAAGACCGGCAUAAUUGCCGAAUAAAUUCGUUAUGAGAAUUUAGUAAGAUACGAGUUUAGACAAGUGAAAGGUGAUUGAACUAUAUGUUGAAAUUAUGAUUACUCACAAAUAAUAUGCAUGUGAUUAAGAGGAUGGAAAUAACUUGUUAAUCAAUGUGAUAUGUUAUAAAGAAGAGCCCAUGAUGGCUAGGCUAAUGCCAAGGCAUGUAAAAGGUGCUUAGAAGUUAAAUGAGUAAGCACUAUGAAUGAAUAAGUGGAAACCAUGAGAUUUAAUGCAAAUAGUAAUAAUAGUAUUCUUACGAAUGAAUAAAGUAAAUGAAUGUUAAUAGUUGUUUAUUAUUUGCAUAUGUACUUACUAAGCUUUAAGCUUACUCCCACCUUCUUUCCCAUCUCUUAUAGGUUAAUUUAGCUAGCUCGGGUUGGAGACCGCCAAAGAUGCCAUCACAUUAUCAAGCUAUCACUACGGGUAUUGAUGAAUUCAAGUAGUUUGAGUCUAUGGCAUGUAUAGGGACUUUGUCUUUUGAGUAAUGAUGUCAUCAUUAAUGUGGCCAAAUGUGUUGACCUAGAAUAGCUUGUGGUCCAAUUUGUAUAAGGCCAUGAGAUGUGGCUCGUAUUGGUUAUUAGGUUGUAAGCCUAAUUGUUUAUGCAUGCAUGUGUCGAAGUCUUAGUGAUGUGGUUGCUUGAUGAUGAUGGAUGAUUUGAUAUGGCAUAUAGGUAUGAUGAAUGAAUGAUGACAAAUUGGUAUGGCUAUGAUCAUGGUUUAAAUGUGUGAAUUGAGAAUAGAUUAAUAGUAUUUGUAAUGGGCCUAUUUUGCCCGGGACCCAAAUUUGAAACAAUAAACCCAAUAAACCAAAAUAGUCCAAAGUCCAUUUACAUCAAAAGCCCAAACAGCCCAAAUUACAUUUAACCCAUGUUACAAACAAAACUAAAAUCCUUAACCCAAUUCAUAUUGGCCAAAUAGGCCCAAGAGACUAAACCAACUCAGAAACCCUAGGGUUUCUGAAUCAUCUUAGUGCCGCACCCCUAUGUGCCUCGUCGGUAAUUCCAACGCCCGAGGCUCGACUUUUCUUGUCCCGUUGCACCAAAAUGGAAGCCCUUCCUCGUUGACUUCCCUCUUAACCUGCAAACACACCAAAAAAGAAUGGGAAACAACAACACGCAAAGACAAACAGAAAAGAAAUGAAAAAAAAAAGAACUACCAUGUAAUCGGCUAUAAAAAGCCCCAAGUAUUAUCAAUGUAAUUUUUUUAUAGACAUUCGGAUUCAAAAAAUAUCAAUUGAAACAGAAGAAAAAUUUGCUAAAGGUGAUCUUUUAUUUUUCUUCCUUUUCAUUUUAAGUUUUUUUUUAAAACAACAAAGAAUAAAAAAAGGGAAAGGGGUUUACCUGAGUCCAUCGGCUUCCCUCCGAUGACCAUCACCGGUUCUUGGACUCCUCGUCACCCGUUGGGUUCCCGAUGAGGGUAAAAAAGGGGAAAAGAACCAGAAACCUCAUUUUUAUUUAUUUCUUUUCAUUUUCGUCGUUCUCUUCGGUUCGAAAACACCCAAAAUCGGGUUUGCAAAAAGAAGGGAAGUCUAAAGGGCCAGUUUGGUGCACCUCUAGCCAGUUUGAAAUAGGUUUAGUCCCUAUUUCGGUUUUUAUUAUUUAGCUUAUUACAAUUUAUACUCAAGUUUUGUUUAAAUUUUCAAUUUAAUCCCUUUUAUGGUUAUUCAUUCAUUUACUAUUAUUUAAGACUUUAAAUUUCAUUUUAAUUUCAGUUCACCCUUUUUUACUUUGUUUAAGUUUCAAUUAAGCUAUUUUUAUUUUAAUCAAUUUAUUUAUUUAUUUAUCUAUUUACUUGUUUACAUGUUUAUUAUUCCUUUAUUUUAUUUGUUUGUUCAUUUACUAACUUAUACAUAUACAUUAUUCAUUUGUAUUUUACUUUAAAUAUUAUUGUGUCUAUCUAUUUAUUGUUCUUUCAUUUAUUUUACUUCCUCAUUAAUCAUUUAUUUUAUUCAUACCUUUACUAUUAUUACUAUUUUAUUAUCUAUCAUUAUUAUUUUAUCUUUAUUUAUUCAUUUAUUUAUUUGUUCCCUUUUUAUAUAUUCUUUUAAAAUCGGAUUAUUUAUGUUUUACUAUAUGUAUUAUUAUUAUAUUAUUAUUAUUCACAGAUCUAUUUUUUAUCCUUUUUAUAUUUGUAUGUACAUCUUAAAAUUUAGAUUAUUUGUGUUUCUUUGCUAUAUGUAUUAUUCUUAUUAUUACUAUUAUUAUUCAUUGUCAUCAUCGUUUACAUACCUUAUUAUAAAUUGUACUCUUAAUUUCAUUCAUAUCUUAAUUUGGUCUUUGUAUUCUUGAUAUUCUUUACUUAUUUUCUUUAACAUUUAUUUAUCAUGACUAUUUAUUUAUCCCUUUACCCUUACAUUUUAUUAUUAUCAUUAUUAUUUUUACAAAAAAAAAUCUAAACUUGAUAGUAUGUACCUAUUUUACGUACUCAUUCGUUUUUUAUUCCAUGCAUUUUAAGUAUUUCUAUGUUAUGAUUGCUCGUCUUUAUAUCAUGCAUUUCUAUCUUAUCGCUUCACUUAUUCAUCGAGACUAGUCCACUAUUAUUGUAUUCAUCUUUAUAAUUGCAUCAUUGUUAUUGUAAUAUUUUUUCGCAUGUUGUAUAUCACUUCAAACAUUGCAUUAAUUUUCACCAAGAUUCAUAAAAAAAUGGAUUCUUUAACAAAUGCAAUAUUCUGUGUUUUAGAAAUUCAAGAGAUCGUGCCCUAACGUACUGGGUUUCGAUUUUUUUUCGUUUGAUCCAAAUAACCGAAUAACCUUUUAAAAUUAAAGUGCAUGAGUUUUAAAAAUCCAAAGACCAGCUUAUUCUCAAGGGUUUAAAGCGUUGUGUCCUAAUGUACUGGAUAUGACAUUUUAUUACUUCAGGACAAGAAGGUCUUUAAUAUCUGUUUCAAUUUAUCUAAACAUUUUGGCAAAAUUAACAUUAAUAAAAAGAGAGGGUCGUAUUUUUAAAUUCUUUACGGAUUUUCAAAUUUCGACAUUAAGAUAUUAAUUAAUCAAUUAGGUACCAAUUUUGGGCAUUACGAGGGUGCUAAUCCUUUCUCGUACAUAACCGACUCCUGAACCCAUUUUCUCGAAUUUCGUAGACCAAAAUCGCUAUUUUAGUAAAACAAAACAUUUUAUUAAAACGAUUAAAUUACGAGGUAGUCCAAUCACACUUAAACAAAAAAGAUUGGUGACGAUUCCCUAUUUUCAUUUUUUAAAAUCAAGCCGACCCGUUUUUCACGAAACAAAAAAUGGUUUCGACAAUAUUAAUUAGAUAUGAAAUUGGUGUGGAAUGCCUUAAGUAAGCUUGUUAACUUGAGUAUCUGAAAUGGUGACAUUAUAUAGGCAGAAUUAGUCUUGAUUAGGAAUGAAUGAUCGUCAAAAUGUGACAUGUAUGCCGUGAAAUAUGUCUAAGUAUGUGAGUAUCUAAGGGUGGCAAAAAGGCUUGGAAAAUAGAAUUACAGUUGUCCACACGGGUAGACACACGAGCAUGUGUCUAGGCCGUGUGUGACACACGAUCUGCCCCAUGGGCGUAUGAUCAGACCGUGUGUCCCCUGCACCCUAAUAAAUGCAUAACAUAAUGCUUAGUAGUAAACAUACGGGUAGAGAUACGACCGUAUGUCUCAGCCGUGUGAAGGACACGACCUCAUGACAUGGGCGUGUGCCCUGGCUGUGUGAAGUCUGCACUUGAUUUUUGGAAUUUAAUUUGCCACAUGGCCUAAGCACACGAGCGUAUGACUUGGCCGUGUGACCCUAUUUAGUUGAUGACGUCAUAAACUGAGAGUUACAUGGGCUGAUGACACAGGCAUGUCCCAAGUGAAACGGGCGUGUGUGACCAUAUGGCCUACCCACACCAGCGUAUGACUCCUAUUUUGAUGAAAAAUUUUCUAAGUGAUAUGAAAGUUCCGGAAGUUCUCGGUUCAGUCCCGAACCACACUCAAUGUAUAUUUUGGGCCUCGAGGGCCAUAUAAGGGACGACGUGCAUGUGAAUGAAAAGUUUUAAAUUUGGACGGAAAUUUCUGUCUCGAUUUUGUAUGAUGGUGUGAGUUUAUGUCCGGUAAUGCCUCGUACCCUGUUCCGGCAUCGAAUACGGGUAAGGGCUGUUACAAAUAGUGAUUUAUACAAGCUAAAUCUUCUAAUUAAUAGGGACAAAUAAAAUUAUUUUUUAUGCAUGCCAUUUUUAUCACUUCGAUUGAAAGAAUAUUUAAUUUUGCAAUUCUCAUAUAUAGUUACGAGAUAAAAUAUAAUUCCCUUCACAACAUAAAAGCUACUUAACUAUUUUUUGGUGCAAUGAGAAUGCAAUAUGUAAAGCAUAAGAUGAACACAAACACAAGAUGCAAAAAAUCACACUAGCAACAAUAAUUUUAAACAGAUAUGCUAAUUUUUAAUCUUUAUUCAAUAAAUACAAGAUUAUAUAGACAACCAAUCCUAAUUUCUUCUAAGAUUUGUAUUAAUGUUUUCUAAAAAUAUUUCAAGGAUUUGUAUUAAUGUUCUCUUAAAAAUAUAAAUCAAUCAAGAUAUUAGUAAUCUCAUACAAAGUCAAUAUGCCAAAAUCAUUUCAUCAAUAAAAACUUAGUCUCGCAUAAAAAUCCUAAUUUAUCACAAGUAAAAUCACAAUUUUAAUUUUUUUAGAUACUAAUUAACAAAGCUCGAAUAGAAAAAAAGAAUUACUAUCAAACUAUUAGGAAAAUAUACUUAAAAGUCUUCAAAGAUUGAUACUCUACCAUGUAAAACUUAUGGAGAGAGUGUGAAAAAAUAAUAAAAUUUUGAGGAAAAAAAUUAUGAAUGUUGAAAGAAAAUAAAAAAAAAAUUAAAGAUUUUUAGAUUUUAGUAUAUGUUUUUCAAAUAUUUUUGUGAGGGUCAAAAACUCAAUUUACUACUUAUAUUAUUCUUUUUAUAAGGUAUUUUUUUAAAUUAUUUUUGUAGGAUCAAUUAACCCCACAAUCCUAUAUGUGGUUUAGUUAUUGCUAAUAACCAAGUGACAUAAUUUUUGGACGACUUGUAACUUUUCAAUUGAAACUAUUAGAACAUUAUAUAUAUUUUAAAAAUGUUCCAUAUUGCACGUGGACUUGGAUAUGAUGAGAGGAGUUUUAAAUGAAUCUUGAUUUGCUCUGAUAACAGUCAAAGGACUAUUUAAAUUGAAUGUCAUUGAGAUUUUCACGAAUUUAUGGAAAUAUAAUCACAAUUCACAUCUUUAAAAUUCGAAUUUUGGUAUUCAUAUCUUUUAAAAUUUAAUUUUCUAAUUCUAUCUAUUACUUGUUAAGUACUUGAUUGCUCCCUAUAUGCCCAAUUUAUGUGGAUCGUCCAUAGUUUGUGGUUGAAGAUUAUAGGUUAAAAGGUUGAAGAGUUAGUAUUCCGAAACACAAAUAAGUUUUUCGUAUUUUUGUUUUACUCUUUUUACAAAGUCCAAUAGAGAAACAUCUUGAAAGUGAGAGUAUAAGAGCAAGAAGCUCAGUAGUUGACACUUCAUGCAGCUCUUUUCCAUAAUUGUUAUUAAUUACUCUACUCCUCCUUCAGGACUAGGCCACAACCUCUUAUACACUGGAUUGCCACCUGAGCUUUUGCUUCAAAGGAACUUUCAAUAAUUUGUGUGGCCUUUCGAAUUAUAGAGGUCUUUCUCUUAGCUGACAUUCGGUCCUAACCAUCAUAAAUACCUUCUCUUAUAUGGGUCCAUAGCAUAGACUAUCCACAAAUUCUUGGAUCAUCAUCAUUCUGCCUUUCCAGGUAUUUUCAGCCAUGAAAUUGUAAUAUUUCGUCACCCAACUACACUUUUUUUUCCACUAUGAUUAUGUAUUUAAAGUAUUAAAAAUACAUAUGUGCAAUAUGAUUUAUGAAUUUUAAUUUUAUAUAAGUUUUAUUUUGAGUUAAUUUUUAUAAACUAUUAAUAAUAUUAUCGUCAUAGUAUCAUUUUGCAAUUAUAUAUUGUAUAUACAAGCAAUUAGUAUAUAUAUAUAUUUUUUUAAAUUGUACAAUUGAAUUAAACUUAAAGUUCUAUUUAUAUAUAUAAAUCACAAUAAAAGUUUCACAUGUAUAAUUACACUAAAUCAAAAUUCAUGAAUCAUAAAUUUCUUCAAUUGAUUUUACAUUUUAUAUAACUUAUUUAUGUUAAUAGCUUGAAAAUAUAAAUAAGAUUAUUCUCUAUAUUACUAUUAAUUUGUUCAUUGAAAUAAAAUUGAGAAAUGGUUAAAAAAUAAAAAAAAUUAUAAAAACCAGUAACUUGUAUUAUAAUGGUAAUUUUUACUUUUGAAUUUUUUUUAAAACUAAUUCUUUAAAAAACUACUGGAAUUUUAUAAUGUAAUUUGAAAAUAAAUAAUUGCUUUCAUUAAGAAGAAGAAAAAUUAGUUUCUACUUCAUCAUUCUUUCACCCAUAUAAUAAAUAUCAUUUUAUCUAAAUUCUUUUUCUUAUUUUUCAUGUCCGUUUUAAAUAUCAUGUUUGAUAUUUAUAACUAUACCUUUCAACAAUACCGUCUCUAAUGUUUGAAUUUUACAACUUUUUCCUCCCAAAAGAUUAUGAUACUUUUCUUGAUAAUACAUGGAUCAAUCAUAAAAAAAGAGCACUAUACAUGUAUGUAUAUAUAUACUAUCGACACUGACGUAAAAGGGUGAUUGGUGUAAUGAUAUAUAUGGAUGAGAAUGAAGAACAUAAAUUGUCAAUGUGUUGGCUAUAAGCUGUCCAUCCAUAUAUUCUUUCUGUGGCAGACAGGCAAUGGGUACCAAACCAUCUUCAUGGCUUUAACCACUUUGGAAUAAUUAAAUGCAAUAAAUAACCCCCCACCCAUCUCUGCCCACGUACACUGCUAAUUCAUUGUGUAUAAAUAACACUAUAGCCCAAAGAUGAUGGUUCAAGGACUUAUAGCUAUAGAGGAAAAAUGAGAUCUAAGAUGAUGGGUUGUAGAGAGGAACAUCAGAGUACUCAUGGUUCAGUGCUGGGUGGGAAGCCUAACCAUUGUGUUAUUUAUCCACCAAAGUCUAGCAUUGUUGCUGAGGAAUUGGAAAGAAGAAACAAUGACUGGUUAAAUUCUUCUUCUUCUUCUUCUGGUACAUAUAGGUAUAUAUGGUGGUGUUUAUGUAGAGAUGAUAUUAAUAAGCUCCUGUUUUGAUUUCGUCUGACGCAGGUUUGUUAGGACCAAAGUUGCAAGUGAUUUAAAGGUGCAGGUUGGAGAUUUUAGCUUUUACUUACACAAGGUCAGCAACAACUAUAUACUUGUCUUUAUUAGUGAAGCAUGGGAUUAUUAUUAAUUUUGCCAGAUGGAAAUAAACUUAUUUUUGUAAAUUAUUAUAAAUUUGGGGAGGGGAUGGCUUACAUAAAAAUAUUUUUCAUAUAUUAUGUAGGGAAUCGUUUUACCAAAUAUUAUGCCUUUUGUUUCUGAUGGGAUAUAUGUGGACAGAUUUGUCAUUAUCAUGUUCAAAUUGUGCCCAACACAAAGGCCAACUGUAUUUUCGUAUUAUGUUUUAAUUUUUUUAUAAUUUACCAUAUUAAUUCAAUUUUAACUUCACAAUCAUUUAUGUGAAAUUAGUAAUUCAUUGCAUUUGUCAUAUCUUAAGAUAAUUUGCUAUUACAAUUUAUAAAUAAGUGAUCAUGUUGUGAUCCUCAGCUUGCUAUGGUUUCGAAAAGUGGAUAUUUGAAUAGACUUGUAUUUGCAAAAAGAAGUGAGGGACAUGGACAAAAUGGAGGCAACGUCAAGAUUGUGUUGGAUGACCUUCCUGGUGGAACCAACACCUUUGAAUCAAUUGUCAACUUCUGCUAUGGAUUUAAGGUGGAUGUAACAGCUACCACCAUUGCUCCACUCUAUUGUGCUGCAAAUUUCUUGGAAAUGAGUGAUGAUCUUCACCAAGGUAAUCUCAUUUCCAAAACAGAGGCGUUUUUGAGCUUUGCAAUUUUCUCAUCUUGGAAAGACACUUUUAAGGUACUCAAAAGCUGUGAAUCUGUGUCACCUUGGUCCAAAGAUUUGCUUAUUGUG